Molecule: ribosomal RNA, 409 nt
Filed under: uncultured Pseudomonas sp.
Lineage: Bacteria; Pseudomonadati; Pseudomonadota; Gammaproteobacteria; Pseudomonadales; Pseudomonadaceae
Description: bacterial SSU rRNA
Rfam family: Bacterial small subunit ribosomal RNA
Source: RNAcentral
GGCCUUGACAUGCAGAGAACUUCAGAGAUGGAUUGGUGCCUUCGGGAACUACUGACACAGGUGCUGCAUGGCUGUCGUCAGCUCGUGUCGUGAGAUGUUGGGUUAAGUCCCGUAACGAGCGCAACCCUUGUCCUUAGUUACCAGCACGUUAUGGUGGGCACUCUAAGGAGACUGCCGGUGACAAACCGGAGGAAGGUGGGGAGUGACGUCAAGUCAUCAUGGCCCUUACCGGCCUGGGCUACACACGUGCUACAAUGGUCGGUACAAAGGGUUGCCAAGCCGCGAGGUGGAGCUAAUCCCAUAAAAACCGAAUCGUAGUCCGGAUCGCAGUCUGCAACUCGACUGCGUGAAGUCGGAAUCGCUAGUAAUCGUGAAUCAGAAUGUCACGGUGAAUACGUUCCCGGGCCUU